UACGUAGGGUGCGAGCGUUGUCCGGAAUUAUUGGGCGUAAAGAGCUCGUAGGCGGUUUGUUGCGUCGGCCGUGAAAACCUGCAGCUUAACUGUGGGCCUGCGGUCGAUACGGGCAGACUUGAGUUCGGUAGGGGAGACUGGAAUUCCUGGUGUAGCGGUGAAAUGCGUAGAUAUCUGGAGGAACACCGGUGGCGAAGGCGGCAUCCUGGACCGGUAUUGACGCUGAUGCGCGAAAGCCAGGGGAGCAAACGGG
RNAcentral lists this ribosomal RNA (253 nucleotides) under uncultured bacterium. RNAcentral describes it as "partial 16S ribosomal RNA". It matches the Rfam family "Bacterial small subunit ribosomal RNA", at positions 524 to 776 of the family's 1533-position model. The record is from RNAcentral.